Molecule: ribosomal RNA, 400 nt
Filed under: uncultured bacterium
Lineage: Bacteria
Description: bacterial SSU rRNA
Rfam family: Bacterial small subunit ribosomal RNA
Source: RNAcentral
AGCGAACGUUAGCGGCGCGCCUAACACAUGCAAGUCGCACGAGAAAGGGAGCAAUCCCCGGUACAGUGGCGCACGGGUGAGUAACACGUAGAUGACCUUCCCUGGAGUGGUGGAUAACCUGCCGAAAGGCGGGCUAAUACAGCAUGGGACCACAUGGUUUUGACCGAGUGGUGAAAGCGGGCCUCUGUUCACAAGCUCGCGCUCUGGGAUGGGUCUGCGUCCCAUCAGCUAGUUGGUGAGGUAAUGGCUCACCAAGGCAUCGACGGGUAGCUGGUCUGAGAGGAUGACCAGCCACACUGGAACUGAGACACAGUCCAGACUCCUACGGGAGGCAGCAGUGGGGAAUCUUGCGCAAUGGGCGAAAGCCUGACGCAGCGACGCCGCGUGGGUGAUGAAGGCC